UACGGAGGGCGCGAGCGUUAUCCGGAUUUAUUGGGUUUAAAGGGUGCGUAGGCGGGCUUUUAAGUCAGCGGUAAAAAUUCGGGGCUCAACCCCGUCCGGCCGUUGAAACUGGGGGUCUUGAGUGGGCGAGAAGAAGGCGGAAUGCGUGGUGUAGCGGUGAAAUGCAUAGAUAUCACGCAGAACUCCGAUUGCGAAGGCAGCGUACCGGCGCCCAACUGACGCUGAAGCACGAAGGCGUGGGUAUCGAACAGG
This 252-nucleotide ribosomal RNA is filed under the name uncultured bacterium. Its description in RNAcentral is "partial 16S ribosomal RNA". It matches the Rfam family "Bacterial small subunit ribosomal RNA", at positions 524 to 776 of the family's 1533-position model. The record is from RNAcentral.